GACGAACGCUGGCGGCGUGCCUAACACAUGCAAGUGGAGCGACGAACCAGGGCUUGCCCUGGAGCAAAGCCGCGAACGGGUGAGUAACACGUGGGUAACCUGCCCCGAUGACUGGGACGAACCCGAGGAAACUCGGGCGUAAUACCGGAUGUGAUGUCCACACAUAAGUGUGUCCAUCAAAGGAAGCUUCGGCCUCCACAUCGGGA
RNAcentral lists this ribosomal RNA (206 nucleotides) under uncultured bacterium. Its description in RNAcentral is "partial 16S ribosomal RNA". It matches the Rfam family "Bacterial small subunit ribosomal RNA", at positions 28 to 225 of the family's 1533-position model. The record is from RNAcentral.